Molecule: ribosomal RNA, 253 nt
Filed under: uncultured bacterium
Lineage: Bacteria
Description: partial 16S ribosomal RNA
Rfam family: Bacterial small subunit ribosomal RNA
Source: RNAcentral
UACGGAGGGUGCUAACGUUGUUCGGAAUUACUGGGCGUAAAGCGUGCGCAGGCGGUUCGUUAUGUCCGUUGUGAAAGCCCCGGGCUCAACCUGGGAAUGGCAAUGGAAACUGGCGGGCUAGAGUGUGGCAGAGGGGGGUGGAAUUCCGCGUGUAGCAGUGAAAUGCGUAGAUAUCGGGAGGAACAUCUGUGGCGAAGGCGACACCCUGGACCAGCACUGACACUGAGGCACGAAAGCGUGGGGAGCAAACAGG